This 89-nucleotide transfer RNA is filed under the name Thermoprotei archaeon. Its description in RNAcentral is "tRNA-Gly". It matches the Rfam family "tRNA". Rfam says of the family: Transfer RNA (tRNA) molecules are approximately 80 nucleotides in length. Their secondary structure includes four short double-helical elements and three loops (D, anti-codon, and T loops). Further hydrogen bonds mediate the characteristic L-shaped molecular structure. tRNAs have two regions of fundamental functional importance: the anti-codon, which is responsible for specific mRNA codon recognition, and the 3' end, to which the tRNAs corresponding amino acid is attached (by aminoacyl-tRNA synthetases). tRNAs cope with the degeneracy of the genetic code in two manners: having more than one tRNA (with a specific anti-codon) for a particular amino acid; and 'wobble' base-pairing, i.e. permitting non-standard base-pairing at the 3rd anti-codon position. RNAcentral also lists the same sequence under 1 other name. The record is from RNAcentral. Lineage: Archaea; Thermoproteati; Thermoproteota; Thermoprotei.
GCCGGGGUGGCCGAGUGGUCAAAGGCGUCAAUCGAGCUGCCGACCCGCUGUCCCCCUGGGACGCCCGGGUUCGAAUCCCGGCCCCGGCG